UGGGGAAUUUUGCACAAUGGGGGAAACCCUGAUGCAGCGACGCCGCGUUAUUUAGAAGGCCUUCGGGUUGUAAAAAUCUUUUCUAUGGGAAGAAAAUGACAGUACCAUAGGAAUAAGGACCGGCUAAUUACGUGCCAGCAGCCGCGGUAAUACGUAAGGUCCGAGCGUUGUCCGGAAUCAUUGGGCGUAAAGGGUACGUAGGCGGGUAAGCAAGUUAGAAGUGAAAUCCUAUAGCUCAACUAUAGUAAGCUUUUAAAACUGCUCAUCUUGAGGUAUGGAAGGGAAAGUGGAAUUCCUAGUGUAGCGGUGAAAUGCGCAGAUAUGAGGAGGAAUACCGGUGGCGAAGGCGACUUUCUGGCCAUAACCUGACGCUGAGGUAGGAAAGCGUGGGUAGCAAACAGG
Molecule: ribosomal RNA, 402 nt
Filed under: bacterium
Lineage: Bacteria
Description: partial 16S ribosomal RNA
Rfam family: Bacterial small subunit ribosomal RNA
Source: RNAcentral